CAGUCGCCGCGGGAAUACGAAGGGUGCAAGCGUUACUCGGAAUUACUGGGCGUAAAGCGUGCGUAGGUGGUGGUUUAAGUCCGUUGUGAAAGCCCUGGGCUCAACCUGGGAAUUGCAGUGGAUACUGGGUCACUAGAGUGUGGUAGAGGAUAGUGGAAUUUCCGGUGUAGCAGUGAAAUGCGUAGAGAUCGGAAGGAACAUCUGUGGCGAAGGCGACUAUCUGGGCCAACACUGACACUGAGGCACGAAAGCGUGGGGAGCAAACAGGAUUAGAUACCCCGGUAGUCCCUGUCUCUUAUAU
RNAcentral lists this ribosomal RNA (301 nucleotides) under uncultured bacterium. Its description in RNAcentral is "partial 16S ribosomal RNA". It matches the Rfam family "Bacterial small subunit ribosomal RNA", at positions 509 to 809 of the family's 1533-position model. The record is from RNAcentral.